Molecule: ribosomal RNA, 424 nt
Filed under: Fusobacteriota bacterium
Lineage: Bacteria; Fusobacteriati; Fusobacteriota
Description: Fusobacteria bacterium partial 16S ribosomal RNA
Rfam family: Bacterial small subunit ribosomal RNA
Source: RNAcentral
UGAGGAAUAUUGGUCAAUGGGCGAGAGCCUGAACCAGCCAAGUAGCGUGCAGGAUGACGGCCCUAUGGGUUGUAAACUGCUUUUAUGUGGGGAUAAAGUGCGUGACGUGUCAUGCAUUGCAGGUACCACAUGAAUAAGGACCGGCUAAUUCCGUGCCAGCAGCCGCGGUAAUACGGAAGGUCCGGGCGUUAUCCGGAUUUAUUGGGUUUAAAGGGAGCGUAGGCUGUCUAUUAAGCGUGUUGGGAAAUAUACCGGCUCAACCGGUGGCUUGCAGCGCGAACUGGUCGACUUGAGUAUGCAGGAAGUAGGCGGAAUUCAUGGUGUAGCGGUGAAAUGCUUAGAUAUCAUGACGAACUCCGAUUGCGCAGGCAGCUUACUGUAGCAUAACUGACGCUGAUGCUCGAAAGUGCGGGUAUCAAACAGG